AUUUUCCGGUUGAUCCCGCCGGAGGCUAUUGCUAUCGGUGUCCGAUUUAGCCAUGCGAGUUGCACGUAUAACGUAGCAAACUGCUCAGUAACACGUGGCCAAACUGCCCUAUGGAUCGGGAUAACCUCGGGAAACUGAGGCUAAUCCCGAAUAGUACAUCCGACCUGGAAUUGGUGGAUGUGUGAAAUGCUCCGGCGCCAUAGGAUGUGGCUGCGGCCGAUUAGGUAGACGGUGGGGUAACGGCCCACCGUGCCGAUAAUCGGUACGGGUCAUGAGAGUGAGAGCCCGGAGACGGACUCUGAGACACGAGUCCGGGCCCUACGGGGCGCAGCAGGCGCGAAACCUUUACACUGCACGCCAGUGCGAUAGGGGGACACCGAGUGCGAGGGCAUAGAGCCCUCGCUUUUGUAGACCGUAAGGAGGUCUACGAAUAAGGGCUGGGCAA
This 445-nucleotide ribosomal RNA is filed under the name uncultured archaeon. Its description in RNAcentral is "bacterial SSU rRNA". It matches the Rfam family "Archaeal small subunit ribosomal RNA", at positions 1 to 449 of the family's 1478-position model. The record is from RNAcentral.